AGGACGAACGCUGGCGGCGUGCUUAACACAUGCAAGUCGAGCGGAAAGGCCCUUCGGGGUACUCGAGCGGCGAACGGGUGAGUAACACGUGAGUAAUCUGCCCCUAGCUCUGGGAUAGCUCCGGGAAACCGGGAUUAAUACCGGAUAUGACCACUUUAGACAUCUGUUGUGGUGGAAAGAAUUUCGGCUAGGGAUGAGCUCGCGGCCUAUCAGCUUGUUGGUGGGGUAACGGCCUACCAAGGCGACGACGGGUAGCCGGCCUGAGAGGGCGACCGGCCACACUGGGACUGAGACACGGCCCAGACUCCUACGGGAGGCAGCAGUGGGGAAUAUUGCGGCAAUGGGCGAAAAGCCUGACGCAGCGACGCCGCGUGGGGGAUGAAGGCCUUCGGGUUGUAAACCCCUUUCAGCAGGGACGAAGCGAAAGUGACGGUACCUGCAGAAGAAGCGCCGGCUAACUACGCGCCAGCAGCCGC
This 476-nucleotide ribosomal RNA is filed under the name uncultured bacterium. RNAcentral's name for it is "SSU rRNA". It matches the Rfam family "Bacterial small subunit ribosomal RNA", at positions 26 to 518 of the family's 1533-position model. The record is from RNAcentral.